This 204-nucleotide ribosomal RNA is filed under the name Evandromyia walkeri. Its description in RNAcentral is "partial large subunit ribosomal RNA". The record is from RNAcentral. Lineage: Eukaryota; Metazoa; Arthropoda; Insecta; Diptera; Psychodidae.
GAUCUUUAUAUAGUGUUUAUUUAAUUGAAAUUAGUUAAUUUUUAUUUUAAGUAGAUAUUAUAUUAUAUUGGGGUAAUAAUAAAAUUUAAUAAAUUUUUAUUUAUUAUUAACAAAGAUAAUUGAUUUUUUGAUCCAGUAUUAUUGAUUAAUAAUUUAAGUUACCUUAGGGAUAACAGCAUAAUGAUUUUUGAGAGUUCUUAUUGA